RNAcentral lists this long non-coding RNA (37228 nucleotides) under Brassica rapa (field mustard). RNAcentral's name for it is "long non-coding RNA (BRAP_LNC007340)". The record is from RNAcentral. Lineage: Eukaryota; Viridiplantae; Streptophyta; Magnoliopsida; Brassicales; Brassicaceae.
ACAAGUGCUGUACUUAUGGGAAAGCGAUAGAGAAAGAGAAAAAAAAAAACGAAGAUUUCACAUAGUGAUUUUUUUUUGAUCAAAAAAAAAUAUGAUUGAAUUUAUUUCGUACCCUUCGCUCAAUGAGAACAUGGGUCAGAUUCUAUAGGAUCAAACCUAUGGGACUUAAGAAUGAUGGAAGGGAAUAAAAUCAAAAAAGAAAUCUAAAAAAUAAAUACUAAAAUAAAAAAUAAAAAUUUUAAAAACAGUUUCAAAAAGUAUUUUUAAAUUAUAAAAAUAAAAUUUGAAAAAAAUUAAAAAUAUAUUUCAAAAAAAAGUUAUAAAAUUUUUGAAUCUGAAAACAUAUAAUCUGAAACUAUAAAAAAAUUUCUUUUUUUCAUUUUAUUUAUUUUUAUUUUAUUUAUUUUUAUUUAUUUUUGUUUAUUUAUUUAAUUUUAAACCAAGGGUAUUAGAGAUAUUUUACCCUUUAAUGAAUGUCAUUUUUGUGACUUUCUCUUUCUAGUGCUAUUUUUGAGACAUAAACUUCAAAAAAUGUUAUUAUUGACAAUUGCUCUUAAUAUUAUCAGUUUCAAAAAAGAUUUAUGUAUAUGUUUAAGUACUCUGUUUAUUCGACCAGGACUGCGUCCAGCUCACGAGUUCACGUUUUAGAAUAUGCAUGUGUGAGUUUUAGACGACAAAAAUAGUGUAUAUAUAUUAAUUCUAUACUCCCUCCGUUCCUAAAUGAUCCAUGUUUUAGAAAAAUAUUUUGUUUCUAAAAGAUCCAUAUUUUACAUUUUCAAUGUAUGUAAUAAUGGCAAAUUGUAAACUUCAAAAACAUUAAUUGUGUUUACUGAAUUUUGAUUGGUUAAAAAUCAUAGGAAAUAGCUAAACACAGAAAAUUAUACAUUUAUUAUCAAAAUUUUAAGUGUUUUCUUAAUAAGUGUGAAAAUUCUAAAACAUAGAUUAUUUAGAAACAGAGGGAGUACAUAAUAAACUGAUUAAUUAAUAAAAGAGAGAAUAACAAACCGUAAUGUGGCCUCCAGCAAGCACACGAUCGAGGAUAUCGAUCAAAAUGUCACGGUUAUACUCAGGAUGUCCCUGAAUGCAGAGGAAGUUAUCUUCGAUUGAAUACAUUUCUACCUCGUACAUGCUUGAAUAUGCAAGUAGUUUUGCACUUUCAGGCAGCUCCAAAACUUCGUCCUGAUGACAUUUUAUGAUCCUCAGACUCGUCGGAACUUCCUCACCAAAGUAGUUUUCGGGCGCCACUGCGUCCUUCAGGAUGGUUAUGUUUCCGAGGCAAAGCUCUGGUCCUUUCCUUGCUCUCCCUACCUUCCCUCCCUUCACUCUAGCUAUUAGCUGUAUAAUAUUCAAUCAUUAAUUAUUUUACUUACAUAAAUAAUAUUACCAAAAUUGCGUACGUAUGAAACGUGAAGGUCCAUGUCAAAUUCUCAAGGUCAAUGUCAAAUUGUCAACCGCAGGUUCGAAUCAAGAACCAUUCAACAAAGAUGCAGCUAUCUAAUUUUUUACUCAUAAUCACUAUAUAUGCGAUAAAUAAACUAAUUUAUUGUGAUUUUACCAUAUGUCAUUUUUGCAAGUAAACAGUUGAAUUUUGUUAUAUAGGCAUAUACUCUAUAAACAAAACUUUAAAUUAUGAGGAAUUUCAAUUUACCUGGUGGCCAAAGCAUACACCUAAAACUUUCUUCUUCAUCUCAUCGAGUUUCUUGAUAAUAUCACAAAGCUUCAAGAUCCAAUCAGUGUCCUGAAAGGCAUCAUGGGAGCUUCCACUGAUGACAAAUCCAUCGUACUUCUCAAGAUCCUUCUCGUCGGGAAACUCACCGUCCAAGACUCUGUAGGAAUCCCAUUGCUCUCCUUCAUCGCCGAGCAAAGAAACAAACACGUUAUGGUAUCCUCCGUACGUUUUCUUGGCAAACUCCGAAUCAGGCACCCCCAGAAACAAUAGGUACUUCUUCUGUUCAACCAUUUGAUCGAUAAUUUAAGAGAUAGAGCUUGAAAGAGAGAGAGAGAGAGAUGAAGAGUUUAAGAGAAUGAAUGGAGAAGAGAGAAAUGUAAGUCUGGAUAUAUUUAUAAUGGCUAUGGGGUUCACCAUUCACUUCAACUCUUCGAACACAUCUUGUCUAAUUGUUUAUGCUUUUUUAGGUUUAUUUUAUUUAUUUUGUCUCAAUUUGACAAAAAAAUGUAUUAGAAAAUAGAAUAUUGAUUAUUGGUUUAACCAAAAAAGUGGCUGUUAACCAAUGUUGACCCCAUAAGAGCGUCAUUCUUCCAAAUUGUUUAAGCGUGAGAUCACUACUAUACGCGGUUCAUAAUUCCGUCUGGGAAAACUUCCAUAAAUUUGAAAAUUCCAUCAAGGCCAAAAAAUGAUUUGUCAUAUAAUGUACAGAAAUUAUGAAUAUCUGAAAAUAUAAUUAUAAUAUAUAAUUCAUAUAUAAUGAGUAAAAUGAUGCAAAUAAACAAAACCAAAUAACAUCUAUUACCCUGACAUAGGGUUAAUUUGUAUAGCACUAGUGUCCGGGUCCUUUUCCAUGUUCUUAAAUUCUGGUUGGCUUAUUCCUUCCGAGCUCUAUGCUCUUUGGUUCUUGAUAGUUUUGACUCAGUUUCUCUAGAAAUUGUUUGUAACCUUUGACUGAGCCUAUUUUGUUGUUUAUUUCGUUGUUUUCUUGUCUACCAAUCUUAGUCUUAAAGCUCAGGGCUUGUGAUCAGUGCCGGAGGUAGAAACAAAAUUUACCGGGUCAAAGUUGUAUAUGUAUAAAAUUAUUUGAGGUUUCACAGCUAAAAAAAGGGGGUCAAACCAUGAAAAAUAUACCAAUUAAUCAAAUAUGCACUACAUUAAUAUGCUUUUAUUUAGUUAAAUUUAAGAAUGCAAGGGGUCAACUGACCCCCUAAUCCUUCAUUGGCUCUGCCACUGGUUGUGAUUGUUAUCCUCCACCUGCUAAGCCUUCCCAUUCUUUGGGCUGUUUGUGAUCCUGUUGUAUUCUGCAGUUGAAAGUUCUAGUGAAGAGAUUGAAAAGGAGAAAAAAAUAUAUGCAAAUAAUGUCCGUCCACUGAGAGAAUAAGGAGUGCAGCCUACGGGAUGAUUUAUUCGAAAUGGACCUCGCUUCAUUUACAUGGGGAAGUUAAAAAAGGCCGUUCAUUUUCAGAGGAAACACAAAGGUUGUUACUCAAUUAUGCAUUUUAAUAGAAUUUAAAUUUAAAUGCAAUUUACUGUUAUUCGAAAGAUUAAUUUAAAUUCACUGUUAUUUAAUGAAUGAAAUAAAUCAAGUUUUUGAAAUCUAGUGUUAUUGAACUUUCAAAAACAAAAAUUCUAUGUAUUUCAAUUGAUUACAAAUCAUCUAUUGUUGAGUUUCAUGAAUAAUGAUUAAAACUAAAAUCUAAAAUAUACAGUAAUUUAACUUUAAAUUUAAAGUACGGAUAAGUCAAAGCAAGUCUUAAGUAUCUUAAUCCGAAAUGUGAUAAAGUAAAUCCAAAAUUCCCAUUCUGAAAGGAUGGCACCACUCCAACUCCCACUCUUACACUUCUUCCUACAUAGGUUCUAAGAACUUAUAAACUCAUCUCAAACUACCUAAUACAACUAGGACAAAGAUGAGUUCAAACAAUGUUUAGUUUGACUAAAGUUUUAAGAAAAAGUUUGUUAGCUACACCAAGUAUAGUUUGAAUAUGUCAAUAACAACACCAAAUAUAUGUUUCACCAUACCACAUGUUUGAAGUAAAUUAUUAUAUAAUGAAACUACAAAAUUUAGUUUAAUUGAUUUUAACACUAAGAAAUGGAGUCAAUCUGUAAUUUAUAAAACUUAAACCACAUUCUAACCCGAUCCGAAUCACAUUAACUUGUCUUUCCCCUGCUUGUUCGUGUUUUCACAAAGAUACUUGUCUUUCCCCUGCUUGUUCGUGUUUUCAUAAAGAUACUUUUGUCUCCACGUCUGUACCGUUCAUCUCUUAGAAAAUCAACUGAUUCAUCUCUCUUUUUUUAUCCCAAGCAAAACUGAAUUCUAUUUAUGUAAUCAUUUCGUUUAGAGAUUUGUUCAUAGCCGACUCAUGAUAUUUUGGAUGUGGUCUACUUAUGGACAGCUAACCAUUUUCCACCUCUAAUUGUUUCUUUUUCCACCUCUAAAUAUUUCAUUGGUCAACAUAUUUAUUUUCUUUAUAAACACUUCAACAAACUUACGGGUUAUAUGAUGGGAACAAAUAUUUAAUUUGGUUAACCUUCACUGGCAGCCUCCUUUUUGUCUAUUUGCGUAUUUUAAAUUGUCAGAAGCAGCAAUACUAAAUAUCUAAGAAAUGGUUAAUCGUUAGUUAAAUGGCGAGUUGAUAUACUAAUAGUAUAUAUAUAUAUAUAUAUUAGAGCAGCCACGGCUUUGAACGCAAAUACAUUACCCAUAAAUACACGUGGUCAUAAAAACACGAAGUCAUAUGUUCCUCCGUCGUCUGAGAAAGGACUCUCAAUUCAACAUCUUUGGUCCCAGUCCCAUUGAUAUUUGGUCAUUUCAACUUUGACAGAAAAUAAAUAGUUUACAAGCGCAAUAUUUUUAUUGGAGUUCCUUACUUUUAUACUUCACCGAUAUGGUUGUUUGACCCAUGAAUUAAAUUCGUGAUACUGUACAAAAGUUGGAUUAAAAUAUUUUCACAAUAGAAAAACAUGCGAUAACGAGUAAGCCGAGUUUACAGAAGAAGAAAAAAGAUGAUAGUAAUUAAGUGAUAAGUUGCCAAAGUACAAAUUUCGUUGUAAAAUCAACAUAAAUUUAUGAAUAAACUGACGACGAUUUAACAAGGACACAUAUAACAAGUAAUUUACGACCACAUUCUUUACAACCCACACGAGUGUAAGUUGGAUGAUAAUAGCAAACAUGUUUGUUAUAUGCAAUGUUCUAAAAAUUGUUAGGCCGUAGUUAGGCACUUCAUAGAGGAUUAUUGUUUAAGCGAACGUCUAAACCGAUUUUUUGAACGCCUAAAGUAUAUUUUUAAUAAAUUGGUUUGAUAAAAUCAUUUAGCUCAUACUCAUAUCCCAUUUGUCGACUGGACGGAUGCCAUGUCACAAGCUCAUACCCAAGCUGUCGUUGGGGAGUUUGGGCUCGCCAAGCUACUUAACCAUGUGGAUUCACAUGUGCUACUUAACCAUGUGAAUUCACAUGUCACAACCGCAGUUAAGAGGCCCCGUUGGUCUCAUUGCAUCGGAGUAUCUCUCCACAGGCCAGUCAUCUGAGAAACUGUUGUAUUUGGAUUUGGAAUACUGUUGCUAGAGCUUAUCACAGGAAUGAGAGCACUGGAGUUCGGCAACACCGUUAGCCAGAAGGGAGCUAUGCUUGAAUGGGUGAGCAACUACUAUACAAAUAAGUGUGUUCUUCUAAAACUUUAAAAGUAUUAUUGUUUUCAAAAUUCAAUCUCAGUAAAAAAGUAUUCUUUCCAAAUUUUCUCAAGAGUUGUAGCUUAAACCCAUAAAAUAGCCGAUGCGCUUUUUAAAGAAUUUUAGGCUUCAAGUAUUUAGCAACAAGAGUUACCCUUAAGUUGUAGAUCCACAUUUAAGUCUCUUAAAAUGAUUAAAGUUGAGCGUAAAGAGAGUAUUUAGCUCAAGUGAGAACUAACUAUUGCCGCUUUCUUCUUCUUGAAGCAAUCUCCAACGCCCAAGCUUUGCCAAUAUCAGUCUGAAACUUCCCUGAAUAAAAACCCCAACAAGUUUUAAAAGCCUUCAACCAUAUGUACUCUGAUAUGGAUUACAAUAGUUCACAAGAAUUUACCUGCAGUUGAUUGGAAAAACUCUUCUAAAUCUUUACCUUGCUCUGCACAAAACAAAAAGAAAUCAAGUUUUAGUUCAAUCCAUAUUGUCAAAUCAGGAGUUCUUCAUUGUGGGGGUCAUUACCUUGUUCAUACUCCAAAGCCUGUAGUAUCAUCUCAAGCUUAUCGAAAUCUUUAACAAGUUUGGCUUCUGGUGAUGCGUUCGCUUCGUAUUCUCUCCACAGCUCAGCGAUUUCUUCAGCUGCAAAUUAUACAUCUGUAUAAAUUAAAAAAAAAAGAGCACAAGAGAGAAAUGUAGUAUUCAGAAAGAGAGAAGAGAACCGACCUCUUUCUCCUCCACCCAAGAGUUUGCACAUGUGUUCAAGUGCUUCGCUCUCUCUUCGGUUUUUCUCUUCUUUAGAGACCCCGCAAGAAGGUGUAAUAUCCCCUACAAUGGCUGUUUCAACAAAAAUUAUAGAAUUUGAUUGGGAGAAAAAAAGAAAUUAGUGAAAGAGAACUAACCUUCUGCAAUGUCGUGAACAAUUGCCAUUUUCAUGCAUCUGAAUAAAGAAAGAAACCAUGAGAAAUUCAAAAGAAGAGUCCGUCUCCCAGAAAUUGAAUCUUGAAGCAACCAAGAAAAGCUUACUUGUCUCUGUUAACACCGGGGAUAUCUGAAGAAACUAACGCCAUAAGACCCAUCCGGUACAUGUGAUCCGCUAUUGAUUCUGGAUUCUUCACAUCUCUCUUAACCCAUCCAGCUCUUGGCGUUGUCUAUGAGUAAAAUAAACUCAUUCUCAUUAAUUCAACUACAAUGUACAAUGAUAGUAUUUAUACUCUAUACAGACUCGUGUAUCCUAUACAACUCCAUCUACACUUCACAAAUACAUAAUAUAGGAUAAUAGUCCCCCUCAAGAUGGGACGAAAAUGUUGAGAAGACCCAUCUUGCCCAACAAUCUCUUAAACGGUGCAGGAUACAUUGGCUUUGUAAAUGGAUCAGCCAAUUGUAAUUCCGUUCUCACAUGUAGCAACUUGAACAAACCAGCAACCAAGCGUUCCCGAACACUGUGACAAUCCAUCUCAAGAUUUUUGGUGCGUUCAUGAAACACUGAGUUAUGAGCAAUAUGAAUGGCAGCUGAAUUGUCACAAAAGAGAAGUGUUUGCUUAGACAGAGGAAGGCGCAACUCAAUGAGGAAGUUGUUGAGCCAAAACAACUCAUCAGAUACUACAGAGAGACUCCUAUACUCUGCUUCAGCCGAGCUCUUUGCAACGACCUUCUGCUUCUUUGAUUUCCAUGAGAUAAGUGAUGUACCGAUGAAGAUACAGAAACCAGAAGUAGAACAUCGAGAAUCCUGACAAGAGCCCCAAUCAGCAUCCGCAAAAGCCUGUAUUUGCAUCUCAGAAGAGGAAGAAUAGAACAACCCUUGCCCAAUUGUUCCUUUGAUGUAAUGAAGAAUCUUGAUGAGAGCUUUAUGAUGACUCUGACGCGGAGCUGAAGAGAACUGGCUCAGUUUGUUGACAGCAAACGUAAUAUCAGGUCGAGUAAUCUGCAAAUACAUCAAACGACCAACAAGACGACGAUACGCGGCGGCAUCAACUAAAGCAUCAUCAACACCUUUAGGGGGUUCAAAAACGAGUUUGAUAGAUGGAUCCAUAGGAAUGCUCGAAGGUUUGCAACCAAGAAGACCAGUAUCAUCAAGCAAAUCCAGUGCAUACUUGCGUUGACAAAUAUGUAUCCCAUCAGAAGAGCGAGCAAUCUCUAGACCAAGAAAAUACUUCAUAGGACCCAAAUCUCGAAGUUUGAAAUGAGAUUUUAGUUGAUUCUUCAAUGUCUCAACCUCAGAAUCGUCACUGCUGCAUAUAACAAUGUCGUCAACGUAUACGAUGACACAAAGAAAGAGCCCAUCACGUAGCUUGAGAAAACAUGUAUGAUCAGAGAAUGUUUGUGUGAAUCCCAAAGAAACAAGCGUAGUGGAGAAUUUGAGAAACCACUGACGCGAAGCUUGCUUAAGACCAUAUAGAGAUUUCUCAAGUUUGCAAACAGCAUUUGGAGGCAGUUUGUCCCCCUUUCUUUGUGCAUAUCCAGGAGGUAAGCGCAUGUAUAUCUCUUCAUCGAGAUCUCCAUUGAGAAAUGCAUUGGAGAUAUCAAGCUGAUGAAGAGAGAACCCGUGAAUAGCUGCGAGACUGAGUAACAAUUUGACUGUGGUAAGCUUGACAACAGGGGAAAACGUAUCAUGAUAAUCAAUCCCUUCUUGUUGAGUGUACCCCUUUGCAACUAAGCGUGCCUUGUAACGUUCUACAGUCCCAUCAGCGUUAAACUUUACCUUAAAGACCCAUUUGCAGCCAAUAGGAGUCUUAUCUGAAGGAAGAGUACAAAUAGUCCAGGUGCCAGUACCUUCCAAAGCAACAAUCUCUUCGUCCAUUGGAUCAUCCCACACCAGAAGUCUCUUUGCCUCAGCAUAGGUUAAGGGUUCUUUGAUUUUAUCAAUAGCUACUAAGAAAGAGAGAUAAAGUGGGGAUACUUUACCAUAAGAAAGCACAGAAGAGAUUUCGUGUAUGGUUGAAGAUCCUAUUGAAUUACAAUAGUAAUCUUGAAGGUAAGCAGGCUUUUUAAGUCUCCUGUGUGAUGACUGAACAGAAGAUUCAGCAUCAUUAGUAGUAUCCGCAAAAGGCAAGAUAUCUACAGAAGAUGAAUGAGAAAAAGUCUCAACAUCGGGAGCAUUAUUUUUCACAGGAGCUUGUGUUGAUAACUGAUCAUUAAAGAAGAUAGAAGAAGUUUGAGAAAGAUCAGUACCAACGAGAGGAAAGAGCUGUUCGUGGAAAACUACAUGACGAGAGAUAAGAAUAGAAUUUGUCUCAAGAUCAAGUAGUUUAUAGCCUUUGAUUCCCGAAGGAUAGCCAAGAAAAACACACGCACGAGCUCUAGGAUCAAACUUAAGUCUACUCUUAGGGGAUGUAGAAGCAUAACAGAGGCAACCAAAGGAACGAAGUUGAUCAUAAUCAGGUAUUUUAUUAGUAAGUACUUCAAAAGGUGUUUUGUUUUCAAGGAUAGGAGAAGGUAGACGGUUAAUCAGGUGAACUGCGGUUAGAAUACAGUCACCCCAAUAAGGAAGAGGGAUAUGAGAUUGAAAAAGAAGAGCACGAGCCACAUUGAGAAUGUGUUGAUGCUUACGUUCCACAACAGAGUUUUGUUGUGGAGUUUCAGGACAGGAAUGGAAAGAAAGGAUUCCUUUGGAUUGAUAAAGGGCAGAGAAUUUGAGUUCUGGAGCAUUGUCAGAUCUAACCCCCUUAAUCUUUCUAUCAAACUGAGUCUCUAUCAUUUCUAUAAAACCCGGGAAAACAGUGAGAACAUCAGACUUGUUUUUGAGGAGAUAGACCCACGUGGCUCUAGAACAAUCAUCAACAAUGGUGAGAAAAUAUUUAAAGCCAUCGUGAGUAGGAGUGGAAAAGGGUCCCCAUGUAUCUAUAUGAAGCAGAUCGAAAGGGUUUUUACUGAUAUUAUGAUGAGACACAAAAGGGAGAUGUUUUUGUUUUGAUAAAUGGCAAAUUUUACAAUGAGGAUCAAGUGUAUGUUGCUUAGGAAAAGCUAGAACAGAAUGCAUAGACUCAAGCUUGGACAUAGAAGGGUGUCCUAAUCUCUUAUGCCAUAGAUCGAUACUAGAAACAGAAGCAACAACGACAUUUUGUAAAGUACCUGUAGAAGACAAUGACUCUAUAUCCAGGAAGUAAAGGUUUGCCACUUCUCUACCCAUUCCAAUCAUUAAUUCCCGUGUAGGAUCCUGAAUGCCACAAGAAGAUUCAUCAAACCAAACCCGACAGUGUAAGACUUUAGUUAGACAACUGACACUAAGAAGGUUGAAUUUGAAUUGAGGGAUGUAAAGAACGUCACUAAGGAUUAGAUCACUACCCAGUGCUAUAGUACCUAUGCCAACAAUGCUAACCAGAACUCCAUUGGGUAAAGAAACAGUUGUAUCAGGAAGGGGUUUAAAAGAAAUGAAAGAAGCACGUUGAUGGGUUAUAUGGUUUGUUGCCCCUGAGUCUAUCACCCAUGCGUUUAAAGGUGUGGCAUUGUUAGUCAUAGAGCAGACAUAAGGUUUAGCACUACCGGUAAAGGAACAAUGAAUAGAAGGAUGAAAUUUACCGGAUAUAGGACAAGUGCUGGAAGAAGAAGGAAUGGAAACUGAGACAGAGUGAACCUCUGGAGUGGGAUGAUUCGCUGGAGUCUGAAGUUUGUUACUGAGGAAAGAUACUAGCUGCUGAAUCUGAGUAGGAGAUAAAUCCUGUGUAGACAGUUCAUCAGGUUGAGAAUGAUCAACAACAGCAACAUUCGCAGACAAAGGAGAAACCAGCGUGUCACUCUUCGGUGUUGGUUUCAUGCUAUUAGGAUACCCGUGUUUCUUAUAGCAUCGAUCGAUAACAUGACCAGGACGAUGACAGAAGGUGCAAAAAGGCCUAUCCUUUCUCUGAUAACCACCCGAAGAAGACCUAGCAGAGUUCUGAUCAGAAGACUGAGAAACCUGAAAAGCAGUAGGAGUUUCCAAUAGGGAAGAUGUCUGAGUAUGAGCAGCCCGAUGACUGUCCUCUUGAUCCAAAAGAUUGAACACCUCCGAGAAACUUGGAAGAGCUUUCUUCAUGAGAAUUCUACUUCGAAUGUUCUCAUAGUUAUCAUUGAGCCCCAUAAGAAAGUCAAUGAUACGAUUGGUUUCACGUUCUGCCAGAAGAUCUUCAAUUGUGUGAUUAGCACUUUGAAGACUCGAGAGUUCCUCCCACAAUGACUGCGUCUUUGUGUGAUAUGAGGAGAGAUCCAUACUGCCUUGUUUGAACGAAUGAAGUUGAUGACGAAGCUUGUACAAUCUUGGUAGGUUAGACUUGUGAUAACGUGUGUGAAGAUCCGCCCAAAUAUCUGAAGCCUUCUUGAAAUACAGUAUACUUGUGUAGAUCUGUUUAGUCACGCUAUUCAACAACCAAGAUUUGAUCAUACUAUUGCAUCGACACCAGAUUCGGAAAUAAGGAUCAGAUUCAGAAGGCUUGGCUAUAGAUCCAUCAACGAAGCCUAAUUUGUUCUUAGCCUCAAGACUCGUAGUCAUCGCGAUGAUCCAAACACCAUAGUUACUACCAUCUAAAGGAUCCGCAGCUAGAACUAGUCCAGGAUGAUCGGAAUUAAGUAGAUGAUAUGGAGAAUGUAUGUUAUCAGGUGAAUCGGAUACCUCAAAGCGAGCCACAGGUGGAAUGAGAGGAGAGCGAACGAGAUCAGCACGAUCGGGAGAUUCGAUAACAUCGCGAGGUUGACGAGAGCCAGAAGGCAUGUCGCGAGUCAUCGGAGAUGACGGUGAUUGAGAAUCCGGAAGAUCCGGUGAAGAACGACGGAACUUCGACUUGCAGUUACGUUUCCCCAUUGAUGUCGAUCUCGAGCUCCGAUCGGAAUGACGAUUUGAAGUUGAGCUGAGAUUGCACAGGGAAUCGCGGAGAUGAGCUUGUCGAAGGAAUGAGAGAUGAAAAACGAAGGAAUCCGGUGGAUGACGGUGGAGAUGAGUGAUGACGGCGGAAGUUAGUUAGAGAACGAGCUGAAAUGCUCUGAUACCAUAUGAGUAAAAUAAACUCAUUCUCAUUAAUUCAACUACAAUGUACAAUGAUAGUAUUUAUACUCUAUACAGACUCGUGUAUCCUAUACAACUCCAUCUACACUUCACAAAUACAUAAUAUAGGAUAAUAUUGUCUAUUAUCAAUAACAAACACAUAACAAACCUUUCACAUCUAUAAAAAAAAAAAAAAACAAACCUUCACAUCUAUAAGAACUCGAGUAAUCUCAACAUAACAUCUUAGCUCUCAUCAAGAAACGUUUCAAGCUUAUCUCUCUAACAAACAAAGAUCCAUCAUCAAUUAUAAACAAACAGCCACAGAGAAAUGAGCCACGAACAUUUGAAACUAAGCAUUUACAGAUCCCAUCUUAAGAAACAAACGCAUGAUCGAUCUUAUACGAGAGAAGAGACGCUGGAUCUCUCUCAAUCGAAUCGGAUGAUCGUUCGAAGUUGAGGUUACAUUUACCUUGAGGCGAGAGCAGAGCGAGAGAAAAUCUAUGGCGGAGGAAGCGGGAGAAGGAGGGGGGACGGAGACGGAACCAUCUCCGCUUCGAUUCGGCGGUUGAGAGAGUGGGGAGUCGUCUGCCAUGCAGUGAACCGCUCGGUUGGGAGAGGAAGCUGCGGCGGAGAGAUGGAAGAAUGGGAGGUGGGGAGGAGUGAGAGAGAGUGAUUUGGAGAAGUAUAUUCUAUUCAUCACAUUCCUCAUUUUUUGUUGUUGUUGUUUAUCUUCUUCGCGUUUUGGGAAGCGUGUUUGUUGUGUGUUUCAAUCGUUCUGCUUUGUCACUUAGUUUGGGCCUUAUAAUAUAAAGGCCCAUUAAUGUAAGUGGGUCAUGAAGAUAUCGUUCGCUUCGCAGGAAUAGAGACUUUAUGCGUCUUAUUCUGCUAGCGAUUCAAACCACCAUAACUGGAUCUGGACCGAGCGUAAUACUAGACUUCACCAACAAGUCUUCAAGCCACCUAAAACUAUCAUCUCCUCCAUCGAUAAGCCAAUCUGAAAUCGUCUUCAAAGCUUUCGACAUGCAAACUCUCGGGCUUCGUCAACAACGAUGCAACUCUGGUUUCUCCAAUCAUAACUUUCAGCAGAGGAAACGAUGUCGAGGAUCUCGUCUCUUCCUUUACUCUGCAACCGCUUCAUUUCACCUUUUGGGUUUGUCUAAUUGACUCGGCUUUUAGUUCCACUGAUAUGUGUUUUAUUUAAGAUUAACACUAGGUUCAGUCCACAACAAACUUAAGCUUUUGGGCUCGUAUGUUUUUUUUUUAUAAUAUGAAAGCCAAAAAAUUCUACCAUUGUACAAGGAUGAAUUUCAUGGAUUUUUACCUAUUUAGAUACACAAUGGUACUCAAAUGAAACUAUAGCGAGGAUUUAUAAAAGAGAAAAAGACUAGAAUAGCACUAAACCAAGUUUUUGUUCCCAAAGUAGCACUCAAGGCUCAAAGUCACAAAAAUAGGUUUUAUUAAAGAGGUAAAUAUAUACUUAUACCCCUUGGGUUAAUUAAUCCAAACCUUAGGGUUUAGAGUUAAGGGGUGGGGUUUUGUAAUUAGGGUUUAAAAUUUUAUAAAAAAUAAAUACUAAAAUAAAAAAUAAAAAUUUAAAAAACAAUUUCAAAAAGUAUUUUUAAAUUAUAAAAAGAAAAUUUGAAAAAACAAUUAAAAAAAAUUAAAAAAUUUAAAAAAAAAAUUAUAAAAAUUUCGAAUCUGAAAACAUGUAAUCUGAAACUAUAAAAAAAAAUUAUUUUUUUUAUUUUUUUUAUUUUUAUUUUUUUAUUUUUAUUUUAUUUAUUUUUAUUUAUUUUUGUUUGUUUAUUUAAUUUUAAACCAAGGGUAUUAGGGAUAUUUUACCCUUUAAUGAAUGUCAUUUUUGUGACUUUCUCCUUCUAGUGCUAUUUUUGAGACAUAAACUUCAAAAGGUGCUAUUAUUGACAAUUGCCCUUUAUAAAAUGUUGUUAAUAAAACUUUAAUAAAAAUAAACUUUAUAAAAAAACUCUAUAAAAUUUUUUUAAUCAAAAACGUUAAAUAAACUUUAUAAAACGUUUUACAAAGAUUUAUUUUUAUAAAAAGUUUAAGACGUUUGUAAACUUUUUAAUUUUACUAAACUUUUUUAUAAAAUAAAAAUAAAAAUUUCAAAUUUUAACGUUUUUAAAACAUUUUUUUUCUUUGUUUUUAAACUUUUAGAUUUUAUCAUGUUGUUUUUUUUGUUCUGUUUCGGUAAAUUUCCUUUAAAUAAAUAAGAUUAUGUAGAUGUUUGUUUUUUGAUAAAAUGUGUUAUUUUUAUAAAAUAAGUUUUACAAUACCGAAAUGAAAUUUAAUCAACAAUCUCGAGAGAACCUGCUUAAAGAAACUAAAAUCCAGGGAAAAAUUAACUAUAACCCAAAUUUAAACUAACUGCUGAUGAAAAAAAUCCACAGCACGAGCUAGAUAGCGACCUAAGAGCAUCUCCAAUGUAUUACUCCAAAUUUUACUCCAAAAUGGUGUAACUCCAAAAUAGAGCUGAGUUUUACUCCAAUGUAUUACUCCAUUUAUUACUCCAAAAAGGAAUAUUCUUUUUUUAUUUAGUUAAUAAUUGUUAGUAGUACCUUCAACUUAUUAAAAUUUAACAAUUAACCCAACUAUUUUAUGUUUACAAAAAUUCCAUAAUAAUAUAUUUUAUUUAAAUUAAAUAUUUAUCAUUAAAAAUACAAAUAGAGAUUAUCUUCCAUUUUCAAUUCGUGCAGUUUUUAUCAUAUACAAUUUUUCUAAUUCAAAAAUAUUUAUAUGCAUUAAAAGAACAUAAAGAAAAAACAAAGUUUUGUUUUGUAAUUUGAGUUAUGCAUUGGGUCUCAUUGUUUGUGCAUAUAUCAAGUUCACAAGUACAAAUAUUAUCAAUCAAAAUUUGACCCACAAGAUUAAAAAAACUCAUCUAUUUCGUUUGAAUAAUACUUCACCGAUUUUGCUAGUUUUGAAAACAAUUUAUCGAAUUAUUAAAUCACUUAUUUAUAUUAUAUUAUAUUUAUUUUAUAUUAUUUAUUUUUAGUUUUGACUUUUAUGAGUUUAUGCAUAUUUUAUGUAAACUAUUAAAUAAUCUUUUCCAGAGUAUUAUAUGUUUUGAUGUUAUUAUAUUAUUUUAAAUAUGAAAUAAAAACAUUGAAGAUUAAAAGGACUAUUUUAUAAAUAGAAAAAGUUCAACUCCAAAAUGGAGUAAUGGGCAAGAUUACUCCAUAAAUGGAGUAACCCUAACCAUUACUCCAUUUUGGAGUUCAAUAUGGAAUGGGGUUGGAGAAGAUUUUACUCCAAAAUUGAGUUUGGAGUCAAAAAUGGAGUAGGGUUGGAGAUGCCCUAACAUCAACCAGCCGCCAAAUAGGGAAAAAUAAACUCAACAGGCCUCAGCCGUCAACGUAAAAUAAAGGAACUAGACACGCUUUAACUGCUAAUGUACAAGACCGUUGUGAGACGUCACCAUUCACAGAGAGAGGGGAAACAGAAAAGAACUUCCAAAAAUAACACUGGAAAAACUCAGCCUCUAAAGUACGACUAAUCUACUUGUGAGACGUCAUCAUUCACCAAGAGGAAAGAAAAAUGACUUUUAAAAAAACCACUGAUCUAUAUCAACAUGUUUUAAAAUAAGUUCAUGUAAUCUGGAUUAAAAUAAAAGGGUUUAUGCAAUUUGAAUUACUUCCAAUUUUCUAAUUUCAUAAGUACGUUAGGUAGCACCGCAGUUACGCAGACUCCAAAGUAUAAAAACAAAUUGCAAUUUACUGAUUUUAUUUUCCCUUAAUUAUACAUAACACGACUAAAAGCGUCGACCAAUUCCAAGUGCACUUUUAGCAACAACAAAACAAAACAAUUCCAAGUACACGAGUAAACAAAACCAUAAUAAGACUUUGGAAAUGUUCCCAUCUCGCUCACGCAAGUAAAAAUAAGAAGAAAUCUCAACUAUUUGACAUAGUAGAGAAUAGAGAUAACAAUUUGCAAAAAGAACGGAUAUGGUCCUAUGGAGUAUUAUUAUUCGAAUAGAUAUUCAAAAAAUUUGAAAUGGAUAUUUGAAAUUAGUAUUUAGAAAAUAAUUAUUUUUUUUGCCUAUGUUCUAAUUUAUAUAUUGUAUUUUUAAAUUUUCAGGUCUAUAAAUAAAUUUGGGUACUUAAUAAUUAUACAAAUAUAUAAAAUAUCAUAACAAAUCAUUUGUCCGUAAACCCAAAUAUCUAAAAACUUGAAAUACUCUAAUCGAUUUCAAAUGAAUACCCAAACGCCAACGCUAGUUUGGUAGCAUUGCUCAAGCAGCACAAAAACAAAUUCCAAUUUAGUCAUUUCCUUAAACUAUAUAACACGAGUAAAACCGUUGACGAAAUAAACAAGUAAACAAAAGCAAAUAAGACUUUGGAAACCUUUUCCAUCUCUCUCACGCAAGUAAAAACAACGAGGAAAAACAUCUCAAUUAUUUGACAUAGUGUAAAUAAAAUAUUAUAACUAGUCAUAUUCACAUUCAAAAGUCCUAAUCACAUUUGCAAGUCCUUAUCAGAUUAGGCUAGACUAAAAUACCCACCACUCACAAUUAAACGCGUGGAAGUUUAAUUAGUCAAAGAAAGCACAAAGUCUUUUAAGUCUCUCAACAACUUUCAUAAGAGGAGAAGGAGAAGAGAUAUCACCAAAACCCAUUCAUCAUUAAGCAAUAAAGAAACUUCUCUGCAGCUUCUCCUUCCUCUCACGCGUUUCAAUCCUCUCUAUAUAACUCUCUUCCCCCUCAAAACCCAUCUCAAAUUCCACUUCUUUUGAAUACGUAUUGAAAACCAUGGUUCGUUGUAGCAACAACCUCGUCGGUGUACUCAACUUCAUCGUCUUCCUCCUCUCGAUCCCCAUCUUAGCUGGAGGUAUAUGGCUAAGCCAAAAAGGCUCAACGGAGUGUGAGCGUUUUCUCGACAAGCCCGUGAUCGCUCUCGGAGUCUUCCUCAUGGUCGUAGCGAUCGCUGGUUUGAUCGGUUCGUGUUGCAGAGUCACGUGGCUUCUCUGGACGUACCUCCUCGUCAUGUUCCUCUUGAUCCUCCUCGUCUUCUGUUUCACGAUUUUCGCCUUCGUUGUCACUAACAAAGGCGCAGGGGAGAAAGUUUCAGAGAGAGGGUAUAAAGAGUAUAGGCUUGGAGAUUACUCUAACUGGUUGCAGAAACGUGUGAACAGUGACAAGAACUGGAGGAGGAUUAGGAGUUGUCUCGUUGAGAGCAAAGUCUGUUCUAAACUUGAAGCUAAGCUUAUUAAUGAGCCUGUCAAUAAGUUCUACCAAGAACACCUUACUGCUCUUCAGGUAAAAGCUUUUAAUCUUUUUGUCUUAUAUUUGGUUCGAACCUUGGAUCUGAUUCCUUGUCUGAAAGCUUGUCUGGUUUUAAGGAUUUUAGUCAGAACUUUGUUUUUUUGUUUGUCUGACUUUUUGACCCUUAAAAUCUCUUUUUGUGAUCUCAAAUGUUUUGAUUCUGUAACAUGGCUUUUAAAGAUCCAAACUCUUUAUAACACAAAAGGUUUUUCUUUUUGAUUUAUAAAGUUUCAGCCUUUUUUUAAAAAAAAAAAAUUGAGAAAUGAUUAUAUGUAGAGGUGUCAAAUGGGCGGGCCGUCCAAUGGUUGCCCAUGUCCAUAUACAAACGGGCUUAAUAUGGACAAACCCAUUUUUCCCAUUAGUUUUCAUUGGACAAAAUGUGGAAGACCAUUAAGAAAAUGGUCUUUAUUGGUUUUGGGCUUUAUGGACGUGGACUGUCCAAUGGUCACAAAACCUAAGGUUUAUAAAAUUUAAGUUUUUCCGCUAAACUCGUAAAAUCAAUUUUUUCGCUUAAAUUUUAAUAUCAAAUUUUCCCGUCAGAACCAGAAAAUCGAGUUUUUCUUCAAAACGAAAAAUCGAAUUUUCCCGCCAAAACCGGAAACUCGAGUUUUUCUGCCAAAACCGCAAAAUCGAUUUUUCUCGCCAAAACCGAAAUUGUUGUACUUAUGAACUUAUGUAUUAUUGUACUUAUGAAUUUUAAUUUUAUGAACUUGUAUAUGUAAUUGUAUGCUUAUAAAUUAAAAUUUUCUUAUAUGGUCAUUAUAGACCCAUGGCAAAACCGAAAAAUCGAGUUUCUCUGCCAAAAUUAGAAAAUCGAGUUUUCCGCCAAAACCGCAAAAAUGAGUUUUUUCCGCCAAAACUGAAAAAUCGAGUUUUUCCGUCAAAACUGCAAAAUCGAGUUUUUCCGUCAAAACUGCAAAAUCGAGUUUUUCCGCCAAAACUGCAAAAUCAAUUUUUCCCACCAAAACCGUAAUUGUUGUAUUUAUGAACUUAUGUAUUGUUGUACUUUUGAAUUUAUGGAUGAAUUUUAAUUUUAUGAACUUUUAUAUAUAAUUGUAUGCUUAUAAAUUAAAAUUUAAAAUUUUCUUAUAUGGUCAUUAUGGACCCCAUGGCAGCCCAUAAAAAUAUGGGUGUUAGUGGGUAUGGUCUUUAAUGGACAUGGUUCUUAAUGGACAUGGUCACUUUGCUGUCCACAAACAAUGAAUGGACAAAUGGAUAUGAGCUAAUGGACAUGGGCUCGCCCAGUUUACAGCUCUAAUUAUAUGAGCUUUUAUGUUCUGUUCUUAGCAGUUUUGUAUGCUUUUGCUCUUUUUAAGUCUCUAUUUUCCACUCUUAUGAGACUAGAUAGUCUAAAUAGUAUCUGAAGCUUAUUCUCUGUGUUAUGGUUGAUGUCUUACUACAACUAAUUAACUAAUCUUUUUUGUUUUGUGUUACAGUCUGGUUGCUGCAAACCCGCAGAGAAAUGCCAAUUCGCUUACGUAAGCGCCACAAACUGGACCAAGACGGCCGGGACACACCCUGAUCCAGACUGCCAAACCUGGGACAACGCACCAAACAAGCUCUGCUUCGAUUGCCAAUCUUGCAAAGCGGGUCUCCUCGACAAUGUCAAGAGCGCGUGGAAGAAAGUUGCAGUCGUUAACAUCAUCUUCCUCGUCUUCCUCAUCAUUGUCUACUCGGUUGGUUGCUGUGCUUUGAGGAACAACAAGAGAGAUGACAGCUACGGCCGUACUUAUGGAUAUAAGCCUUGAGGGUCUUUUAGGACAGAGAUUCGUUCAUUGUUCUUUACACAUUAUUGGAGUUUGCUUUUUUAUGUUUGAUGAUUCCUAUCUUCGUGUUUUGAGACCUAUUGCUUGUACAGCUUUCUACUUAUUAGCUAGUGUGUUCUGCCUUCUGGCUAAACCAUGAUAUUGAUUUAUUAUAUGUUUUCCCUUCAUUUUUAUUUAAGCAUACCAUGUUCUCUUGAUCUUCUUGUUGAGGAGCAGAGAAGCCACACUUGUGACAAAAACUCAGCACCGAUCUUGGCUGUAAUAUUGAAAAGAAUUAUGGUAGUCUCUGUGACGCCCCGACCCGCUAAUGUUAGAGAAGAUAUGGAAGGAACCAUGAUAGCUUCGUUUACCUCUCGGGUGUAGGCUUGUUAUGAUUUUCUCUCAGUUUUUUUGAUACAAAACAUUAGAGAAAGAAGCAUACAUGUUGUAAAAAUGUUUUAAAUAUACAUAACUGCAUUUUUUUAAUUUAAUGAACUUGCAUAAAAACACAUUGAGACUUACUCAAAAUUGAUGAUAGUAGGGAUAUUGAUGGAUCUCAAAUUAUCCACAAAAUAAUUAGGUUAAGUGUUUCAAUUACGUGUAUAAGAAAAAUUUAUCAAAAAUUGUGUAUUGAUAUUUCCGUAUGAAGAAAUGUAUUUUAUUGAUAAUAUAAGUACAAAACUAGUAUAAAUAGAGAAGGUAUCUAAGAACAAAGACGUAUGGAAGUACAGUACAAGUAGAAAAUUAGUAUGAAUACAAAAGGUAUCUAAUAACAAAGACGUAUGAAAGUAUAGUAUUGCUUUUAAUCGGAAAAAAAUGUAUUGCUGUAGAAGAAUUUGGAUCCCUCUUCUUCUUGCCAUUGGUCUUGCUUUUAUAGGCCUUCAAGAGAUAGUAACGGCGAUAUAGUCUCCAACGAGGAUCAGAUACCUUUAAAACCGGCUUCAAUGAUUUGACUUCAGUUACAUUGCAGUUUGAAAGUGUCAGCUCAGCAUGGACCGCCUUUUGAGCAUAGUAUGGGCAUCAGACCUCCGAGGGCACAUUUGUCUUCAUGCGGGUUUGAAGGACACUGGAUCGGGUUCUCGGAUCGGGUAUGGAGCGGAGUCAAAUCCGCCUCUAACAGAUAUAUAAUUGUUGAUGAAGGAUAUAGAUUUGGUUAUGGAGAAAUAAAGAUAAGGGAGACGAACAGAUUGGGCUGAUGUUUUUGGUUAUUGUUUGUGUGAAUGAUUGUUACUCGAGCCCCUUAAUUAAUGGGUCCAAAAAGCCUGCCACAAAAACUGCACAUAUGUAAUCGAUACACAAGUAUAAACAUGUAUAAAUUGUAACAUUUUAAUUCUUAAAACUUAUAACAUAUGAAUACAAAAAAAUAUACAGGAUUAGUUUAGUUUGUUGUUGUUUGCGCUUUAUGAAAAAUGAAAGUAUAAUUGUGUCUAAAUGAAGAUUAGCGCUUUAUGAAACACAUAUGAAAGUGUAUAUUAGAUCCAAAUAAUACAUCUAAAAAUAUUUUUCAUCAUCAGAAAUUUAUAUUAAGAAAAUUGUAGUUCCAGUAUAGUUGCGUGUAAAUGAUGAUUAGCGCUUUAUGAAAAUGAAAAAAAAAAUGCAAACGUGAAGAUAAUAUGAAGAGGAAAGAAAGUGGCUCUCACGAGGUCCAUGUUUUUUGGAUCUUGCUUUCUUUUACGUAAUUAGGAUAGCAUAACGUGAAGAGAUCAUGUAGAGGUUACAUGUUUAUUUUGCAUCUUGCUUUCUUUCUAAAAAACCAUCGGUUAACAUAUAUAAUAUCUCUAUAUAUUCGACAAACGACAAAUAGCCCGAGCUAGAAGAAGUUUGUCUUGAUGAAAAAUGGAAGCUCAAAUUCUGUUUCUCUAUCUCUCACUCCUCGCUCUCUCUCUAAACUUCUUAUUUCAGUAUCUCAAGCCGAGGCUAAGCCGCAUGCUCCAGCCUUCUCUUGAAACUCAAGCCAAGGCCGCCAUUUUAUCAAGAAAAGAAGUAGCCGAGUUUCUUGAUUCUCCCAUUGUGGAAGUAGUAGAAGAGGAAGAAGAUGAAGAUAUCUAUACAAUUUCUAGUUCCACGUUCGAUUUUGAUCCAUACAUGGCGAGCAAGGCCGAAGCAGUGAACAAAGCUCUAGACGAAGCCAUACCGGUCGGGGAGCCACUCAAGAUCCACGAAGCCAUGCGUUACGCGGUUCUUGCGGCCGGAAAACGCGUUAGACCUAUUCUCUGCCUCGCUUCCUGCGGUCUAGUAGGCGGCGAAGAAAACGCCGCGAUGCCAGCGGCUUGUGCGGUUGAGAUGAUACACACCAUGUCACUAAUCAAAGACGACUUGCCUUGCAUGGACAAUGACGACCUGCGUCGUGGGAAGCCCACCACUCACAAAGCCUUCGGCGAAGGAAUCGCCAUUCUCUCCGGAGGAGCUCUCUUGUCUCUUGCGUUUGAGCACAUGACAACGGCGGAGAUAUCCUCGGAGAGAAUGGUUUGGGCGGUCAGGGAGCUGGCUAGGUCCAUUGGAACUAGAGGGUUGGUCGCGGGACAAGCAAAGGACAUAAGUAGUGAAGGUUUGGAGUUGAACGACGUCGGUUUAGAGCAUUUGGAGUUUAUCCAUGUACACAAAACUGCUGUUCUGUUGGAAACUGCUGCGGUUCUUGGAGCCAUUAUUGGUGGUGGGUCUGAUGAAGAGAUUGAGAGUGUAAGAAAGUUCGCAAGGUGCAUUGGAUUGUUGUUUCAGGUGGUGGAUGAUAUUUUGGACGAGACCAAGUCGUCGGAGGAGUUGGGAAAGACCGCCGGAAAAGAUCAGCUACUUGGAAAGCUGACGUAUCCCAAGCUGAUGGGGUUGGAGAAAUCUAAAGAAUUUGUUAAGAAAUUGACUAAAGACGCACGUCAACAUCUCCAUGGGUUUAGUACGGAGAAGGUGGCACCUUUAGUAGCUCUUACUAAUUUUAUUGCCAAUAGAAAUAAAUGAAGUGUUACGUGUUUUAGAACUUUGAUAGUUUGUUUCUUUGUGUCGGGUUUAUGUAUACAUGCUAAACUAGUGUGCUUACUUUUAAGUGUAACCGCAUUUUUAUAUUUUUAUUUAAAAUUUGUAAAAUCCAUUUGCCUCUUUUGUAAAUCUAUGCCAGUAAAGCAAAACACCAUCUCUUCACAGGAUGCUAACUCAGCUUUGCGUCUUCCUCCUGAUGCCAUGUGUAAGAGUUGGUCGCAUAUUGGAUCUUUUAAUUGUUUUCGUUACUUUGCGGCAGAGUUUGGUCGCAUAUUUCUUGGACCUCAAUUAGCAUUUUUUGGGUUUACACAGUCCAUCUCAGAAAAAUCAUUCAUAGUGGCUUGGACCCGUUCGUUUAGGUCCGAUAGCUAUUCUAAUCAAAUAUUAAGGAGUUUUUUUUUCCUGUAAAAGGCAUAUAAACAUCUCGCGGCGCCGAUGAGGUGUUUCUCUCAGUUAAACCAAUCGGAUUAUAUAUAUAAAACUAAUCAGAUUAUUAUUCCUCGUGAGACUUAUUCACAGUCGAGCAAGAUCCUAGUGAUACAUUGUUUUUGUUUUGGUUGAGACAGUCUGAUUGGAUUUCAGUUGUAUCGACAUGAAUUAUUGUCGAGUAUCAAUUAUCAUCGUUCAAAGAUAUCUUUUUAUCACCAACUUAAAACUCUGAUCCAUUCCUUUUAGCCACUUGAGUUUUUUAAAGUCUAAUGCCAAACAUCUUUAAAAACAAUAAAUAAUCCGACACGAAUAUUAGUGUACUUUCGUACAUUAUAUUCUAACGAUCGAUAAUUUAUUUGCUGUCUUAAACAUGUUCCCGUCUUAUUUUAUUUAUUGUAGACAAAAUAUAAAUCAAUUAAUGGUGUAUAAUCUAUGGUUAACUGCAUCCAUCCGUUUUGAAAUUUCAGUAUCUUAACUUCUUAAGGUGAUGAAACAAGCAAUGUGAAAACUUUUGGAUAUGCAUUUUUAUUUCAUAUGUUAUCUUUUGAUUUACAGUAACCUUCCUUAUCAUAAUGUUUGUUUUUUUUAUUAUACAUUACUCUUGUUAUUUUUGACCCAAAAAAACGAAAAACAAGAAAACAAAAUUGAUAACUGUUCACGAUAUUGAUGCUCGAGCAAAGGGAUAUGCCCUUUGGCCCAUAUCUUUUGGUAGAUAUUUUAUUAAAAUCUUUUUUGGGUGUAAUUAUUAAAAUAACUUGUCGUCUUAUCUCGCAAAAUAUGCUUUUCUGACGUUAUCUUAUAUCGAAAAUUAGGAAUAUAUAAUAUAUACACGAAUCAAGAAUAAAUCAAUGAAGAUUUAUGAAUUUGAAGUUUCCUUUGUUAUUAAAAAACAAACACCAGAAAAGAGACAUCAUAGAGAAAAUAAACGGGUUUAAUAUGCAAAGGAAAACAAACAACAUUAUUGAAACAGCGUAGUACACUACUAAUAUAUCUAGACUUAGGGGGCGACUGGUUUUCCCGCUACCACCCGCAAACGCAGCUUUUGCGGUUGGUAGCGGUUGUCGGCGGUUUGCAACAAUCACUCAAAUCGCUCUAAACCGCUCUAAACCGCUUUAAACCGCUCCGAAUCUCAUAAAUUCAAAAGCUGGCUCCAGCUAGCGUUUGCGGUUGCGGGCGGUUGCGGGAUGGUAAAAAAAAUUUCUUUUUUUUGAAACAAUAUAUAUACAAAAGUAAAAAUAUUUAAUAAAAAAUUUAAAAUUGAAAUUAUGAAAAUAUUAAAUUAUAUCUAUUAUAUUUUAAUUAAUAUUAUAAAAUUUUAUAAUAAAAACAAUUUCACUAAAUUUUCAAAAAUUAAAAUUAUAACUUUCUAAAUAUAAAUUUUAUAUUUAUUAUAAUUUUAUGAUUUUUGAUAUUUUUAUAAUUAUAUUAAAUAUAAAUAUUGUUAAUUUAUUAUUUGACUGUUACCGCAUUAGGUAGUUAACCAGUCAUAAGUCACCCGCAAACGCACCAAUUUUUAACCGCAAUAUCAGUCGUACAAAUCUCUUAAAACCGUUAGAAACCGCAACCGUCCGCAUCCACAAACUCCCACAACCGCAACCGCAACCGCUGCGUUUGAAGCAGUCAUGCCCUUAGUUGAUUAAAAAAUAAACUCAAUUGAUGAAAGAUUUUUAUUUUUAUAUUUUAUAUAUCGUCCCAAUUGAGUAUAAGUUUCAAAAUAUAAUGAGAAUCGAAUAAAAUCCGUACGACUUUACUACAUGUACAUUUUCGCCGGACACAUAGACGGGUCACUUUCCAAUUUUGAACCCAACACGAACGAAAGACACACAACCAAGUCGUUUUAUCAUUACUAUGGAUCCGACUUCCAUUUCAAUGGUUGGAUCAGUUAUCCGCUUUCUCCUACCUGUUACAUCUUCAACCAUCAAUAAAAUUUUGAAUUUAUCACCAACCAAAAAAAAACGGGUUUGGAUGGCAGCUGCCUCAUUGCCUAAAAUGCUCUCAACCUGCACAAAUAAGGAAAGGACGUACCCCAACAAGAUAGACCAACAGACUACACCAGCAUAAGGAUGAGUUACUCCUAGCAUAUGGAGUCAUCGAUGAGCAUCCCGAGUUGGAGAACACCCGACCAACCAAAUGUAGCCGCCAUAUGCAUGUCUUUGAGAACCGAAGGACUCUACAAAACUUCAGUGACAAACAAAGAAUAUGUUACAGAUAAAGUCUAAGAGCCAAAACCUUAAAGAAUAUCACCACCUUCAAAAAGGAUGAUAAACCAAUGAACCACUGGUAUAUAAGGAAGAUAGCGAAGAAGGACGAAGAAUCAUCGAACACCAAAGCUAUAGAUGACUUAGCGCUUUGGAAACUCCAAAGAACCUUCUUGCGCGGAGACCAAGAACCAGACACAGCCACACAAUAGAACAUAAACCAUGCAUGUGCCACCGAGUAGAAUGACCUUCAGUGAAAUACAUAAACAAAGACAGGAAGGACCGUUCGUCCCAUUACACCUCAAAACGAGCUGUGAAGACCACCCUCCGCUACUCUGCACAAUCCGUAACCAAAACCCAUGAACUCAAGAGAGUCAAAAGAAAGAAAUCCACGCCGAACACUUCGAUUUGAAGCAGAUCUUCUCUUCGACGCUGUUUGAUGGCAUAAGAGAUCAAGAUCAGAAAAAAAAAACAAAAUAGAUCCAAGCACUAAACUCCAAUAAACAUAAAUUUCAAAUAUUACUUAAAAAUAUUUAGAUAAAACUGGUGUAAGCAAAUUUUAGUAACUAUUUUGAGAAUAUUAAACAUCAAACUUUUCUAUUAAAAAACAUCAAAAAUUUUAUAAAGAAAAUGAACAUUUGCGGAGUCUCUAUCUAGCUGAUGUCUGGUGAGUACCAAUUGCAUAAUACUUUAAAACUAGGUGUUCUGCCCGCACAUGCGGGCAUAGUGUUUUUAUAGAUAUUUUUUAUAAAUAUUAAAUCAAAACCAACAUAAUAAAUUAUUAAUUAUAUUUUUAAAAAUAUAAAUCAAACAUUAAACUUUAUAUUUCAUAUUUUAUAAUAAAAAUAUUAUUUCAAAUAAAAACACAACAUAUUUAUGAAUUAUCUUAUGUUUUAAAAAUAUAUUUUAUUUUUGAGAAUUUUAUUAUAUUUACUUAUAGUCAAUUAUCAGAUAUAACAUAUAAAUAAAAUAUUAUUAAUAUAUAUUCAUCACUUUUUAUCAAAAUAUAUAUAUGCUUAUUGUUGUGUUAAAUUUUAAAGAUAUUCACAUAUAUUUUAGAAAAUAUAUUUAUUUGUUUGAUUAGCAUUUAAUUAUAAAUUCUUUUAUAUCUAACUAUAAAUUUUAUAAUAAAAUAUUAAUUUCAGAUAACAACAUAAUAUAUCUAAGAAUUAUCUUAUGUUUUAAAACAUGUUUUAAUAAAAUAUUAUUUUCAGAUAACAACAGAAUAUAUCUAACAAUUAUCUUAUGUUUUAAAACAUGUUUUUAUUUUCGAAAAUUUUAUUAUAUUUAUUUAUAGUCAAUUAUCUAAUAUAAUAUAUAAAUAUAAUAGUAUUAAUAGAAAUUUGUUUUUAAUUAUUUAUAUUUUAGAUAAUUUUUAUUAUUAUUAAUUUUAAUCCCUUCUUUAAUCAGAUAUAUUUUAAAUUCGUUUUUAUUUUUUACUAUUUAUAUAAUUUAUUCAUUAAGGUUAUAAACGAUUUAUUAUUAAUUUUAAUCAUUUUUUAAUCAGAUAGAUUUGAAAUUCGUUUUUAUAUUUCGACUAAUUUAUAUAAUUAUUCAUUAAGGGUAUAAACGAUAUUAAUCGCUCUAACUUUUAACGUGAGAGCUCCGUUGCAAAAAUUUACUUAGCAAAUAAUAGUAUAGAUAGAUUUGUAAUAGUAUAAUUAUUAGUCAUAUCUGCCAUUUGCUGGCCUCAGCGUUACCAUCAGGCCGAAGUCAAUGUUGAUAACGUAGGAUUAAUUACUUCUUAGACCUAAUUAACCAAAUUUAAUUAAUUAAUUAGGUUAAAUAUCUCAGACCAUUUGCUAAUGUAGUACAGUUAGAUUUUUUUGCUCUUUGCCAAAUUAAUUUUUCAAUUUGCGGAAAUGCUUGUCAGUUGUCACUCCAAUAAGUUCGUAACUGGUGGAGGUAGUACUAUACACGUGUCACUGCAUGACUUGUUAAAGCUCUAAUAACUUUACCAAAUUGUUUUUCUUUCAAGGUUCGCUAUGUUGGGAAUAGCACCCAAACUUCCGGGACAUCGAGUCAUAUGCCAAAAGGACAAACGUAUGCCCAAUUUGUUUAUAGUUGCAUAAUAUAUCUUUCUUUUUGCACAAAAAGGUAUAUGCACUAAUUAGCCUAGUUUUAAAUCGCAAAAAUUAAGUGUGUUGUAUUUGUAUAUAAAUAACAGAAACAAUUAAAAUGUUUUAUACAAAAAGCAUAUUAUUUUCUAUGAUAAAAUAUUAUUUUUGCAUGAUUUGAUGUCACAUUAUUUACUAUGAAAAACGCACAAAUAUUGAAUGCACAAAAUAAUUCUUUAUUUACUAAAAUUUAUCCGACUUAUUUAUAAUUAUUUAUAGCACCGAAAAAGCUUACAAAUACAUACAAGUUAUUUAUAACUUUGUCAUCAAGUAUGUUUUUGUAAAUAAGCAUCUCCAAAUAGACUAUUUACUAUUUAGUUUAAUUAACCCACUUGUCUCUCCAUCUGUUCUACUUGUUCGCAUAUUCUUUACGGCAUGUUCCUCAAACAUUGGAAUCUAGAAACCACAAUUAUUUUUUCCUGAUUAUUUCUCAUAACUAUAAGAGAUCGGUGAAAUAAAGAUUUUUUUUGCCUCAACAAGUUAAAUGAUUACCAUGGAAAAUUUAUCAUACUGUUUGUUAAUACAGCUAAAGUACUUGAUUUAUCAGAUUAAAUAAUAAAGACUUUUCAAAGAGACUAUAGAAAAUAUAUGCUUUCUAUGUAAAUACUUUGAAAUAUUGGAAGAAACUAAUUUUGAAAUUAAUCUAGGAAAUUCGUUUUAACAAUAUAUUUUAAUCUAGUAAAUUAUUAAAAGUAAAACGAAUAAAGAACAAGAAAAAUACGUGGAACCACGUUCGCUUACACGCAAAAGACUUUUGGUUUCCUACUUCUUCUCCUCUGUCGCCGUUGCGAACAAAUUUUAGUUUCCAAAAUUAAUAAUUAACUAGGUGAUAACCCGCGCCUUGCGCGGGGUGAAUUGACUCGGUGAUUUAAUGUUUGACAUCCAAAAUAAAGUCUGUAUUUGCAAUAUAUGAUUGAUAAAGUAGGACUUUAUAACACCGGAAGAAAGUUUCAAGAACGGUAAAAACAUAUUUAAACAAUAAAAUAAGUCUUUUAUAACUUAAAAGCUCAUUUAUUAUUAAGAUGCAUAAUUAAAGAAUUUAUCAUAAUAGUUCUUAAGUAAGAUAUUGAAAGCCAAAACAAAAAUAUAAAUGUGAAUAGAAUACUAAUAAAACGAAAAAAUCUCCAGUGUGGAGCUGCGCACCUUAGCGAGCUUGGUCAUGUCUCGGUUCUAAGAUACAGAGUGUACUCUGCUUCAAAGUGUUCUCGUCGAGAUGAAUAGUCAUGUCUCUCUUCUAAGAGAAAAGAGUGGGUUAUAUAGUUCAUACAAUAUAUACACGUUCAAGAACCAUUAUGCAGUGUGGAUGAAAAAUGCUUAGCGAGCUCGGUGAUGUAUCGUUUCUAAGAUUCAGAGUGUUCUCUUCUUGAAAGUGUUCAUGCUGAGUUCUUCGCCGAUAUGAAUGUUUAUAUCUCCCGUAUAAGAGAAAAGUUAAUUACGUCUUCAUCUUCUCGAUUCUGUGUUUCUAACUUACAUGUGUUACUAUCUAGUGCUUCGCAAUAUGCACUGACAGAGCACACCCGUAUAUGUUCUGGAAAGUCUUCUUGAUGGGAAAUAAUCUUUACGAUGGUACGGUGAUGUCGUAGCUUAAGCUUUACGUGAUAACUCAUUCCACGAGUGGUUUUUUUAAUUUUCUAGAUCAAUGAAACGUUUCCAAAAAUUCUGUAAUAGCAAAACCAAUUAAGGCAACUAAUUUGUGAGAGUCUCUGUACAAUGGACACGUGUCAUACAUGGUGUGAAAGCAUUAACUCCAAUGCUCCUCUUUUAAUAUAUAAGGGAUUUAAUAAGAAAAAGUAUCGGACGGCUGUAACACCACCGCAUGCUAACACCAUUACUAACCCAACACGUGUACGGCUACAAAUCCUCAGUAUCUCCACGUUUCUCGCAAGAAGAAAGCGUUUCGAAAGCGAAUAUUCGGUUGUAAAUUGGUAAUAAUGAAUUUCUCGUGUACGUUCUGAUAUACGCUGACGUGUACGUGUCCUUUUUAUUUUUAUUUAAUUUAAAUCAAACAGUAUAUAAACCCUUUUCUCCUCUGUUCAUAUUACAUUCAUAUUUUUUAAAAAAUAUUUAUAUUUAUUUUUGUUUUUAUUUCUCUUUUUCUCUCUCUCAGGGAGAAAAGAAAAAAAAUCGUUCAUCAAUCCAUCAAUGGCGAUGAGGAAGCUUUUGACGAAGCGUCUCUUCAGCAUCUCGAACCAAGCCUCGCAGAGCCUAACGAACUGCCGCAUCUCUUCAUCUUCGCUAGCCGUACGAACACGAGUCCCCAAGGAGUCAGGAGAGGCCAGAAUCGCGCCGGAGCCCGGAGACUCGUCGAUCUCGCGGCGGUUUCUGCACAACACGGCCAUGAUUCGGCCGGAGAUCAUGCAGAUGCCGCUGGGAGAGAGCCUGAUCGAGAAGCUCCGCGAAAUCGACGGCAGCAAGGGGAGAAUCCGAUUAGACGGCAUUGCUCCGCCGAUGGAGACGGAGACGCCUAGUUUGACGGUGGAGGACACGAAGAAGCUCCUCAGAGCUGCGCAGAUCGAGAUCGUGAAAACGAAGCUUAGAGAGACGGGGAAGAGCUGGAUGGCGUAUGAGGAGUUUGUUAGCGUUUGCGGCGAAGCGUCUUCGGAUCUGGAUCAGGGAGCUAAGAUAGCGAAGAUGCUUGAUGAUUCAGCAAACGUCAUCGUUUUGGGGGAUUCUGUUUGUAUUAGACCAGAUCAGGUACUUUUCAUUUUUUUCACUUAACUCGUAUGGAUUAAUUGAAAUGGAAUGAAUGUGUGCAGCUGUUUGAUUUGAAACAGAUUGGGAGAGAUCUCGAAUUAGGUUUCCUGAAAAGUUUUUUUUUAUUUUUUGGAUUUUGAAUACCGAAAACUGAUACUAUUUUCCAUGGGUUGUAUCUCUUUUUCUUUUGGUUCCAAUUCAACAGGAGAUUGAGAAAACCUCUGUUAACCAGAGUGGUAGGAGGUUCCCAAGUUUGAGGUGGUGAUUAACAGAGCAACCGUUUCUUCAGAGACCCAAACCAAUCCAAAAAAAAAAAACAUUGCUUGGAUUACGUUAACUUGAGAGUCAAGAACCUGAUACCAAAACCUUAAAUGAAAUUCUAAAGAGAGUGAGAGAGAGAGUUCUAGAAUAAGUUCUUAUGGGUAUUAGGAUAGUGAAAGUGGAAAGCUUGAUCCAAAGGAUCGUGUUUUAAGUGGAGAAGCUAGAUAUUAAGCAGAAUUGGGAUUCUGGGAUGGGUUCAUUUACUUAGUAGUGUGCUAAUUGUGUGUGUGUUUUUGAGUGCUAAUUGUAUGUGUGUUUAAAGUGCUAAUUAUGUCCGAAAGAAGGUGAUGGAGGUAUUGUUUUACCCAGACGUUUUCUGUUUUUGUCUUUUGCCUUUUGUGUCUGAUCAGGUUACAAAAUCCAUUGAAGGCUUGCUUCCAUUGCCCAAGGUUCGUAACUCGAAUGACCCACGAAGGAUCGAGUUAAAAGAGCUGGAAGCAGCGAAGGCAGUGAUCGAUGUGAAAGCACACUCUUUGGUGCGGAGAGAGCUCUGGGCUGGUCUAGGCUACUUGAUCCUGCAGACCGCGGGGUUCAUGAGGCUAACGUUUUGGGAGCUCUCGUGGGAUGUGAUGGAGCCGAUCUGUUUCUAUGUCACGUCUAUAUACUUUAUGGCUGGGUAUGGUUUCUUCCUCAGGACAUCGAAAGAGCCUUCCUUUGAAGGGUUUUACCAAAGCAGGUUCGAGGCCAAACAGAAGAAGCUGAUGAAUGUUCAUGAGUUUGAUGUUGAGAGGUAUGGUGAGCUGAAGAAGCUGUUUGGCCCCAAGGCUUCAGAUCAUGUUUCCAAGAUUCUUGGAACUAUCCAGAGUUAGUUUUUUGAUUAGACGAGUCAAUGUUGUUGUGUCUGAUUUUUCCUAACUAGAGAAUUCUACCCCCCAAAAAUGAAAAAAAAAAUAGGUAGAUGAAGUUCUCAAGUUUUCAGUUUUCCAAAGAAAAAUGUGUUCGAAUUAUUGCGGCUUGUGUAACAUCAGGGAAGAGUUAUGUUCUUCGUUUUCACGGUUUUUCAUUUAUGAGAUUAAUCUAAAAUGUAACCAUUAUGUAAAUAUAUAACAUGCAAGUGUUUGAAAUGUAAUACAAGAAAAGUUAUCAUUAUUUUGCCUGUCAACAGAACUCUGGUGAGCUGUAAACGAAAAUCUGACUUGUAGCCAGGUAAGCUAUCUACCACAAUCCACAAAAAAUAAUAGAUACAAAAGGCAACUCUUGCUACAAGAUGGAAAAGGGCACAACGAUAAAAAUAAUGUAGAUAUCUCAAGUUAACUGCAUACUUGGAGAGUAUCAAAAUCACCAUAUCAGAUGAAGAUCAAUCAAUUCAACUAUCAUUGGGACUUCCAGAAGCGUAUAGACCACUGGUUCACAUACUCCAAUAUGGAACUGGGAAAGAAACGCUCACCACAAAGGAAGUUAUAACUUCAGCUUAUUCCGUGAUGAAGCUUGAGAUCCAUGAAGCUCUUCGUGAUAUCUACCACCCACUAGUCUCAUUUAAGUCGAUCUCUUUUAGUUUUAUCCCUAGAUCAGAAAAUGUAAGGGCUGAUACAAUGGCAAAAUAGGCUCUUUGGACCAUGAAUCUAUUUUAAGAAUACGAAUGAAAUUUGAUUCUACAAAAAAAAAAACUUCAGCUUAUUCCAAAGAAGCCGAACUUAAGCAAAAACAACUUACUUAUUCGGAAGGUUUGUAUGUUGAGACACAUGGAAGAACUACGAAGAGGUCAAAGAAUGGUAAUGAAACUCGAACAACUAGAGAUAGAGAUCUAAAAGUAGAAGAAGGUUUUAGUCAAAUCAAAGGUUUGAUUUAGAACAAUACAUGUUUUAUUUGUGGAAAAGAAAGCCAUUGAAAGUGAGAAUCACCAAAAAGAAAGAGGCAUCCGAAUUCUGAAAACUUUACAAAAGAGCAUGAGCAACAGUUGGUGUUAACUUUACAAAAGAGCAUGAGCAACCGUUGGUGUUAACCAUUAGCAAUCAAGAUACACUCAAAUGGAUCAUGAAUAGUAUUUCAUUCCAUAUCACACCUAACAAAUAAAUCUUGUUUUAUUUCAAGGAGUAUGAUGGGGAAAGUGUAUUAAUGGCUUAUAUCACUCAUGGUAGCAUCAAAGGAAUGACAAAGAUUUGGAUUCAGAAUCCAGAUGGUUCUAAAGUGAUACUCAAGGAUGUUUAAUACAUGCGGCAGUGAAUAAACAUCUUAUUUUACGGGAUGUUAGAAAAUCAGGUUGCAAGUAUAAAGAGAGCGGCUUCGAGGUUCAAUUUUACAAACAUAGGAAAAAGUAAUUUUAAUAAUAUACAAAGACAGGGUAUACUUUCUUUAAGGAACUGUUGUGACAAGUGAAGUAAAUACUCCAAUAAUCUUAUAAAGAAGUUAGAGGAAAGAAGUUAAGAAGGUGUCUUUCAAUAAAAAAACUGAUUCAUGGACCAAGUCAAGUCCUUACGGUUUAGGACGGAAAGCCAUCAGCUAUAGGUGGAGAUUCUUUUAACAUAAGAUACGAGUCAAGUAAAGAAGCUGAGAAUGGCCAAUCUCUACAUGAUUGUUUUCUUGCAAGGGAUGAAGAAAUGAAAUGAUCAUCAAAGUGGAAGCAAAAACUUGAUUGAAAAUAUUUCAAACCCAUAUUAGGCAACAAACUUACACGAGGAAGCAUCAGCUACAAGGUUUGUGUUCAAAAUUAGUGAUGCAAAAAUCAAAUCUAUAACGCAAUAAAAAAGGAAGAUGUAUCAAAUAAGAUACAUACAUCAUGUAGAGCGGUUGAAUGAAAAGGCACAUGAUCAGAAACUGCAGCUUUUGCUGUGAACUUCUUAAUAUCCGCUAAUUGUAGAAUAUCAUCGCUGUGAUUAAUUUAUCAUCGAGACACCUCACAAAAGAAGAAUGAGUUAAUUAAGAACUCCAAUUAUUUCUUAUCAAUUAUAAAGAGCUCUAAAUAGUAAGAAAAGUUACAUGUAGAGACGGACAAGGCGAGGCAAAGGUUUAGUUCAAGGUGGAGUAGUUGAGACACAUGAAAGUUACUAAUAGGUCUCAAACAAAUCUGAUGGGGAAAAUGAAAGUACAUUAAACUGGUACCUGAGAGAACGUCUUAAAGUGAAGGGAGACAGUAUCUCUGGUUACAAAAAAAAAUACAAUGGGAUCAUUAAACAAGGAAAAAGAGAGGAAAUAAUUGUCUUAAACAGCUGAAGGGAGACAAGUAUCUUUGGUUACAGUGUGAAGGGUGCUGAGAACGUUAAUCAAAUUAUUAAUCUCAUCGUUUUUCUUAAACAAACUGAGGAAUUGAAGAAACUGAGGGAAACUAUGGGGAUUGUCUCUAAGGAUUUUUCUAUUGAGAUGGGACUGUUCGAAGUUGAAGAAUUGACUUAUUUGAAAGAAGGAAUAAUAGAAUAAAAUUUAUUGAAAUACUGCAGAAUUCUGGUCAAGUCAAUCUAGGUGUACUGUGUACAUCACUAUUUCUCAAGAAAAUAACACCUUGUAAUGGAGGAGUCGCAACCUUCUUUAAGAGAGAAGCAACACCUUGUCGAUGAUGAGAAAUCAUCAAAGGAGAGCACAUUGGUGAUAAGAUCUCAUACAUAUUCAACACGAAGCAACAAAGCAUUUUUUUUUUGCUUAGGUGAGAAAGGAUACUAAGGAAUAGGAGUUACCAUGGUGUAUUAGGAAGGAUGAGAAGAAUCUACAUCAGAUGUGGAAAAAGGACAUGACGAUUGCAAAAUGUUACUUGCUCGUAAUUUCGUAAACGUAUCUAGCAGCGCGACGGGAACCUUCUUAAGUAUAACAAAUAAUCCCACCAAGCCAAGCCCAAGGUUUGAUAAGGAUCGAGCAUUAGAGCUCAGAUAUCAACCUUGUUGUGAAAACAGAGAAGAUGAAUCAAAAGUUGAUGAAUCUUCAUCAGCUACUGAUGUCGUCUUCUAGAACCAUCCAAGGAGAAGAACUUUGUCGGUUUCCAUGUAGUAACCUUAUCAAAGCUUUUCAAAUCCCAAGCCGUGCUUGUCAAAGGAACUGUAGGUAGAAUACAUGAGGAUAGUACCUGCGUACGAGCUACAUGAGUCUUCAACACAGUGGAAAUGAAACUUGACAUUAGGUAGAGUUUGAUGGCAUUAUGGGCCUCAACUAACUCUAGCUUUAGCCUACGUCAAAGUUAUAUACUUAUGUCGGCCAAGUUUUGUACAAAGCCGAAUAUGCUUAGAAAACUUUGUUAUAAUUACAUGAGUUAUGAACUUUAAAUAAAUUGUGAUAACCUCAUACGUGGAUUAUUCCAUUAAUAAGAGAAAGAUUAGAUUUUGAUCCGCGCUUAGAAAGCGCAGGUUUUUUGGAUUAUAUUAUACAAAGUUUUAUUAUAUCGGAAAUAUAAUUUUUAACAGUUAUAUAAUCUAUGAAUUAGUUUAUUUGAUAUUUUAUAUGUACACUUUUAUGUAAAUUUUUUUUAGGCAUGAGAAUUAUAUCCGGAUCAAAAAAACAAACCAAAACGACCCGGAAAUAUAAGUUUAGUUCAGGUCCAGAGAAGAUAACCUAUUGGGGUUUUUUUUUGGAUCCGCAUGUCUUUGUUUGAGUCCGGGUACUACCCUAGAUCCAAUCAUAAAUAUGUUGUGUUUAUUAGGUAUAUUUGGAUAUUUCGAAUAUGUUUCCAGCAUUAUGGAUAUUCUUUUUAGGUUUUUGGUUUAUGAUUAUAGUUUUUAUUUCAGGUAAAUUUUCAAAUUAAAAUUUUUUUUUUGGUAUUUGGAUAAAUUUUUGGGUAUUUUCAGUUUAGUGACAAAUUUUGAAUAAGAUUUUGAAUUUUUAGGUAUUUGAAUUUUUUUGGGUAUUUGUUUGGAGUUUCAAGUACUUUUCGUGUUUCAGAUAUUUUUCAGAUUUUUUUUGAUAUUUCGAAUUUUCUUAGGAUCCUAAAUACCCGAACAGAUGUGGACCUAUUACGUCUAUAUCGGGUCCAACAACCUUUUGAUAUAGAUUUAUAAUGUUAUUGUACAAAAACAUGAUUGAUGAAAUAUUUUUAGAAAACUCAUUUUUAAAUAUGAAAAUAUCUAUCAAACUAUAGAGGGUUGAAAGUUUAGUAUAUAAUAUGAGAUUUUAGUAGAAAAGUUUAUAUAUGAUAUGAUUACGUUAUUAUAAAGGAAAGAGGAAGUUAGAAUGUACACAUAUAUAUCGUGUAAUUUCUCUUGCUUUAAAUCAUAUAUUAUAUGAUAAAAGUGAUAAUAUAAAAUAUUAGUUUCAAUGUUUUUAUGAUUAAAAGUCAAAAUGGUAAAUAUAGUAAUAUUAAUGAUUAAGAUUAAGAGUGAUAUUUGAAUAAAUAAAUGAAUUGAAUAAAUUAUUGUUAGAGAAAUAUAUGAUAAUAUAUUGUUAGUCUAAGUUUAAGGUAAUACCAAAAAAUAAUGAGUUAAAUGAAAGGGUCCAAACAACUUUUAUAGGUAGAUUUUUUAAGACUCUUUUCCUUUUAAUAGUAUUGAUUAAUAUAUAAGAGAAAGAGACGAGAACAAAAGAUAGUGAAAUCAAUAAAUAAGAAUAUGUUUAUUACUUUGAUCAAGGUUGUUACUGAAAGAAACUUAUGUUGGUAGAAAAUAAAAACAUUUAAAAAAAAAUCCUAACAUAAUAAAAUACUUAUUUAGUUAUUUUAAAAUAUAUAAUCUCUAAAAUAUUUUAAAUAUUUUUCUGAACUAUCUAAAAUAUUCAAAUUAUUAAAAUUUAAAUAGAAUUCUCCAUAUCGAUAUUGGCCAACCAAACUUCUCAUCCUAUUUUUAUCAGAUUCUUUUGAAAGAUUGAUACCAAAUUAUACGUUCUUGUUCCAUACUUAUAAAUUCUAAUAAUCAUAUUUUAAAAUUGAUAUAAUCCUUAAAAUAAAUUAAAAUAUGUAUUUUAAUAUAAACUAAUUUUGAAAAUAUGAUAUUUAAAUAAAAUGAUUUUCAAAAUUUAAAUUCUAAAUUUUAUUAAUAAAUAUAUUUUCAAAAAAAAAGUUUAUACUUUAUUUCAAAAUUGAGAAGACAGUUCCCAAAAAUAGAGUAAUUUUUUUUUAAAAAAAUGGUCUGAAUUCUGAAUCCUAAACUUUAGAAACUUGUUAAUCCAAAUUAUUUUAUUUUCUUUAUUCUGAAAGCUUAGCCUUUUUCAAUUUAGAUUUUUGUAAGAUUCUUUUAGUAAUCCAUUGAUAGGAAUGCAUAAAACGAAAGAAAAGGGCUUCUCUCUCUACUCCGUUCUCUCACCUUUAUCUUUCACGGAAUUAGAGAUCUGAUGAAGCCUUUGUUUAUAUCGUCAGUUUGUUUCCAGCGUUUUUCAACCGGCUUCGGCUUUUCCGACCGGUCAUCGCCUCCGAAGUCGCACCUUAUCUCUUGGUGGACUUUUGGCUUUUGUCUCUGGCGCCUAUCCCUUCUCCUCCGGUGAUAGACGGCCGGUUUUUGACUCCGCGUCAAGCUCCCAUGGUGUUUGGCGGCGGCUUAUCACCGGGAUCAUCCCGGUUAUGUUCGAUUGGCGUUUUCUGCUUAUUCUACUCUCAAUCGUCUCUCCUCUAUUAUCUUCGAUGGCUUCUUCCUCCUCUUUGUUAGGGCCGAUUCAUCUUCGAGCUUUCUUUUAUCAUUAAAGAUGACCGCUUGUCAUGCAGGAAGAUUGAAGAUUGUAGAGUUGAUUGAAGACGAUUGUAUUUUCUUCUCGAGACGUCGAUCUGGUGAUCGAUUUGGAUCUGGUUGAAGACUGCUCCGAGUGAGCGUUUCUUCUUCAUCCUGUCUCCGCCGACGGCGGAGAUCCGUCGCAUCUCCUCUUUGGUACCGGCGGAAGCAAGCUGACUCCCAGCCUGACCCGUGUCUUCUGAUCGCCGGGCGAUCGAACACGUGGUGGUGACCUGUCGGUUUCCUUCUACAACAGUUUAUACUUUUGGGCUGACAGCCCAAAGUCUGUUUGUUUCGGUUGGGCUUUUGAGCUCCUUUGUCUUUUAAGUUGUGGGCUUGGUUCUGUUUAGGGCUUUGACCCAUUAAUAAAACUCAGUUGACAAAAAAAAAAAAAAGGAAUGCAUAAAACUAGGGGAAGAACAAAACUUGGGUGAUAGAGGAACAGACUGUUGAUUCGGAUAUGGACCACAUCUCCCACGUGGCCAUGACCAUCCUUUGCCUGGCUUUGCCACCUGGAUCCUAAUAAAGUGAGUUUGUGUUUUGUGUUUCUAGGACCACUUUUGUUGUGAUAUAUAUGAGCGAGCAUCGAUGCAUCCACAUAAACACAUUACAUAACACACACGGCGUUUAAUAUUCUCAUUAAUUAAUAUCACUCUUAUUAUUUCCUGAAAUAAUGAAAUUAUGAGUAUUGGUAAUAUAUAGCUAGCUAGGAAGGAUUAUGUUGAUAGUUUGUGACAUCUUUCUCCAAUAUGAGUUGAGGUUGUUAUGUUUAAGAUGAAUUUAUCUCCCCCCCAAUGAAAUAUUUAGACCAUACUUUACUAAGUAAGAUCUUCACUCUAUAAUCCCUUCACAGUUUUUCCUUAAAAUGACUAGCUGUGCAAUUAGCGGUGGAUUAGUUAUUUAUUUGAAUAGAUAUAGUUCUAAUAUUUUAAAGAUUUACGCCACAUAGGCGCAUACUUUAAAUAUAUUGCUUAUAUUUUGACUUAACUGUAGUGAAAUUACAGAUAAAACAAAAUUUAAAAUAUUUAGUGAAAAAUAAGAAAAAAUGAUUAAGAUGAAUUUUUUUUUUGUAAUUUUCUUGUAUUAAUGCGGAAAGAUUAUAAAUAUUAAGAUAUUUCCAAUAAAUAUCUGACAACAUAAAUAUAUAUAACUAGUUGAUGUUCCACACCUUGUGCGGAAUAAUAUAUCUAUACAUCUAAUAAUUUUUAAUUUUAACAUUUUUAAUAAAAUAAUAAUAAUUUAAUUAGAUACAAAUUUUAAAUUAUUAUAAAUUAUAAAAUUUCAAUAUUCAUAUUGGUAAUUAAUUUAUUAAAUUGUAUUAUUUUGUUUCAUAUUUUUAUUUAUGUGAUGUAUAUUUUGGAUCAAAAUCUUUUUUAUAGUAAUAACUAAAUUAGAAAAUUUUGUAUGUGAAAUUAACACAUAUUGUACUUGGACUGAAAAGAAAUCAUGUGGUACUAUAAAGAUUAUAAAAAAUCACAAAUACAAAACAUUAAUGAAUAACAAUAGUUUAAGAGUGUUCAAUCUGGUAAAACCAAACCAUUCAAAACCGAACCAAACCGAACGAUUUGGAAGUACCGAAGAUGUUAUGUUUAGAAAAUAUCAGUAUAUGAUUCAAUAUAUUAAGGGAUCAAACCGAAUAAACAAAAGAA